This 279-nucleotide ribosomal RNA is filed under the name uncultured bacterium. RNAcentral's name for it is "partial 16S ribosomal RNA". It matches the Rfam family "Bacterial small subunit ribosomal RNA", at positions 524 to 799 of the family's 1533-position model. The record is from RNAcentral.
UACGGAGGGUGCAAGCGUUAAUCGGAAUUACUGGGCGUAAAGCGUGCGUAGGCGGUUCGUUAAGUCUGUUGUGAAAGCCCCGGGCUCAACCUGGGAAUGGCAAUGGAUACUGGCGAGCUAGAGUGUGUCAGAGGAUGGUGGAAUUCCCGGUGUAGCGGUGAAAUGCGUAGAGAUCGGGAGGAACACCGGUGGCGAAGGCGGCAUCCUGGACCGGUAUUGACGCUGAGGCGCGAAAGCCAGGGGAGCGAAACGGGAUUAGAUCCCGUGGUAGUCAACGAG